Molecule: ribosomal RNA, 253 nt
Filed under: uncultured bacterium
Lineage: Bacteria
Description: partial 16S ribosomal RNA
Rfam family: Bacterial small subunit ribosomal RNA
Source: RNAcentral
UACGUAGGUCGCAAGCGUUGUCCGGAUUUACUGGGCGUAAAGAGCGCGCAGGCGGCUGGUCAAGUCCGAUGUGAAAUCUCCCGGCUCAACUGGGAAACUGCAUCGGAAACUGAUCGGCUUGAAGAUGGGAGAGGGUAGUGGAAUUCCGCGUGUAGUGGUGAAAUGCGUAGAGAUGCGGAGGAACACCAGUGGCGAAAGCGGGUUGCUGGGCUGACACUGACGCUGAUGCGCGAAAGCCAGGGGAGCGAGCGGG